RNAcentral lists this unclassified non-coding RNA (278 nucleotides) under Auriculariales sp. RNAcentral's name for it is "partial contains 5.8S ribosomal RNA, internal transcribed spacer 2, and large subunit ribosomal RNA". Lineage: Eukaryota; Fungi; Basidiomycota; Agaricomycetes; Auriculariales. The record is from RNAcentral.
CGCACCUUGCGCCACGUGGUAUUCCACGGGGCACGCCUGUUUGAGUGUCACGUAAACCCAUCGCGUCGCGGAUUGUCAUGAUCUGCGGGGCGGAUUUGGACGCUGCCGUAGUUGGCUCGUCUCGAAAUACAUUAGCUGUCUUACGACACGCGCCGUUGGUGUGAUAAUUUACUUUGCGCCGCUGGUGAGUGACUGUAGAAGGCUUAUAACCGCCCGCAAGGGCAACGUAACAUUAAUGCUUUGGCCUCAAAUCAGGUGGGACUACCCGCUGAACUUAA